GUCCAGCCACCCGGCUUCCACCCCCCCCCCCUCCCCUCCCGGAGGUUCAAGUUUCUGCGCCCGGAGGACGCGGCCUCGGCCAAUCCCCGGGCUACAGGGCGCUUUUAAAAUGCAGUAAUCUCUACACCCCGCGUGGGGCUCGAACUCACAACCGUGAGAUCAAGAGUCGCAUGCUCCACUGACCGAGCCAGCCAGGCGCCCACCCCAUCUGCGCAUUCUUAUCAACUCGUGCCAGUUCGGGAACGUACAGGCUGGCUCCUGACCCUGGGAUACCCCUGUGCCUUCUCUGGCCGUGGCAGCAGCAGGAGUGGGAACCAUCUCCCUUGUCUCCUAUGCACCCAUCCCGGGAUCUGUGGAGAGAAGGCAGGUGGCCUGGAGCUUAUUCACGGGACAGGCGGUCCCCAGAACUACCUCCCACCACCCACCAUCAUGUGCGAAAACACUGCGUCCCAUUCUUUCUCUGGGAGCUUAAAUCAGGAACUACACAGAAGAGGUCAAGUUCAGAAUCCCUGCUUGAACCCUGACCUUUUGCCCCCCAA
This 539-nucleotide long non-coding RNA is filed under the name Lynx canadensis (Canada lynx). RNAcentral's name for it is "lncRNA (ENSLCNG00005004360.1)". The record is from RNAcentral. Lineage: Eukaryota; Metazoa; Chordata; Mammalia; Carnivora; Felidae.